AUACGAAGGGUGCAAGCGUUACUCGGAAUUACUGGGCGUAAAGCGUGCGUAGGUGGUUGUUUAAGUCUGUCGUGAAAGGCCUGGGCUCAACCUGGGAAUGGCGAUGGAAACUGGGCGACUAGAGUGUGGCAGAGGGUAGUGGAAUUCCUGGUGUAGCAGUGAAAUGCGUAGAGAUCAGGAGGAAGAUCCGUGGCGAAGGCGGCUGCCUGUGCCAACACUUACACUGAGGCACGAAAACGUGGGGAGCAAGCAGGAUUAGAUGCCCUAGUGGUCAACGCCCAAAACGAUGCGAACUGGAUGUUGGGUGAAAUUUGGCACGCAGUAUCGAAGCUAACGCGUUAAGUACGCCGCCUGGGGAGUAUGGUCGCAAGACUGAAACUCAAAUGAAUUGACGGGG
RNAcentral lists this ribosomal RNA (397 nucleotides) under uncultured bacterium. RNAcentral describes it as "partial 16S ribosomal RNA". It matches the Rfam family "Bacterial small subunit ribosomal RNA", at positions 523 to 918 of the family's 1533-position model. The record is from RNAcentral.